AGCAGUCGCCGCGGUAAUACGGAGGGUGCAAGCGUUAAUCGGAAUUACUGGGCGUAAAGCGUGCGUAGGCGGUUCGUUAAGUCUGUUGUGAAAGCCCCGGGCUCAACCUGGGAAUGGCAAUGGAUACUGGCGAGCUAGAGUGUGUCAGAGGAUGGUGGAAUUCCCGGUGUAGCAGUGAAAUGCGUAGAGAUGUGGAGGAACACCGAUGGCGGAGGCAGCCCCCUGGGCCAAUACUGACGCUCGUGCACGAAAGCGUGGGGAGCAAACAGGAUUAGAUACCCCAGUAGUCCCUGUCUCUUAUAC
Molecule: ribosomal RNA, 303 nt
Filed under: uncultured bacterium
Lineage: Bacteria
Description: partial 16S ribosomal RNA
Rfam family: Bacterial small subunit ribosomal RNA
Source: RNAcentral